RNAcentral lists this ribosomal RNA (301 nucleotides) under uncultured bacterium. RNAcentral's name for it is "partial 16S ribosomal RNA". It matches the Rfam family "Bacterial small subunit ribosomal RNA", at positions 509 to 807 of the family's 1533-position model. The record is from RNAcentral.
CAGUCGCCGCGGGAAUACGGAGGGUGCAAGCGUUAAUCGGAAUUACUGGGCGUAAAGCGCACGCAGGCGGCUUUUUAAGUCGGAUGUGAAAUCCCUGAGCUUAACUUAGGAAUUGCAUUCGAUACUGGGAAGCUAGAGUAUGGGAGAGGAUGGUAGAAUUCCAGGUGUAGCGGUGAAAUGCGUAGAGAUCUGGAGGAAUACCGAUGGCGAAGGCAGCCAUCUGGCCUAAUACUGACGCUGAGGUACGAAAGCAUGGGGAGCAAACAGGAUUAGAUACCCCAGUAGUCCCUGUCUCUUAUAC